UACGUAGGGGGCAAGCGUUGUCCGAAUUUAUUGGGCGUAAAGAGCGUGUAGGCGGCCUGAAAGGUCAGCUGUGAAAACUCGAGGCUCAACCUCGAGACGUCGGUUGAAACCAUCUGGCUAGAGUCCGGAAGAGGAGUGUGGAAUUCCCGGUGUAGCGGUGAAAUGCGCAGAUAUCGGGAAGAACACCCGUGGCGAAGGCGGCACUCUGGGACGGUACUGACGCUGAGACGCGAAAGCGUGGGGAGCGAACAGG
This 253-nucleotide ribosomal RNA is filed under the name uncultured bacterium. RNAcentral's name for it is "partial 16S ribosomal RNA". It matches the Rfam family "Bacterial small subunit ribosomal RNA", at positions 524 to 776 of the family's 1533-position model. The record is from RNAcentral.